UAUGGUCUUUGAUUUUAGAUACUCCCUAUAUCCAGUAUGUGUGCCACUUAUUGAAAUACAAGAUGUAUGGGGUGUCUGCAAUCACAAACCACGUA
This 95-nucleotide microRNA precursor is filed under the name Drosophila virilis. Its description in RNAcentral is "microRNA dvi-mir-975 precursor". Its record names the gene dvi-mir-975. The record is from miRBase by way of RNAcentral. Lineage: Eukaryota; Metazoa; Arthropoda; Insecta; Diptera; Drosophilidae.